AUCUUACACUGAAUUACCUAGACUGGAAUGUCUAUUAAUGUUUUUGUGACUAUGACAGAAUAUUCCACUGCAGCAGCUUAGAGUGGAGGCUUUGUUUCCUGAGUUCAUAUUCCUUAGAAAAGGAGGCUCCAUUCCCUGAGUUCAUGUCAUUACACAGAUGUGAAAUGAGCAAGACCCAGACUCUGCUUCUGAGGGAGAACAGCGCACUUGCCCUUCUGUGCAGGGAUGCUUUGGUUUAACCCAACAAUAGCAUGCAGAAGGCCUGACUGGAAAUCCUAACCCGGCAUCCUUUCAGGUCUUUGAAGUUGUGCAGAUUGCUUGACUUCACUGAGCCCCAAAUUACCAUGUAUACAUACAGUCACCCUUCACAAGAUUAGGGAAACUCUGGUCUGUAGUGACAUCACAUUGUUGGUUGUCUGGAUCUGAGUGGGGCCUGCUUGGGAUGCUAAUUUAAAAGGACUUUUCUGAGAUUAAGAAGAUACCAUGGUUUAAGUCUGGAGAAAGGGCUCACUCAGUGAGUAAAGCAUUAAAGACCAGAGUUCCAGUCCCCAGAGCCCAUGUAACAUCCAGGACAGUGGCAGCCUUCCUGAAUCCCAGCACACUGGGACCCAGUCCCCAGAACGUUACCAGCCAGAAUGAGCUAGUCCUAACGAUGGUGGGCUCCUGGUUCCAGGAGAGACCAUGUCUCCAUGUAUGAGAUGGAGAGUGAGCUGUCCUCCACACGCGUCCACACAUACUGCAUGUGCCCACACACUUGCAAAGAGACACAUGCAUCC
RNAcentral lists this long non-coding RNA (776 nucleotides) under Mus spretus (western wild mouse). Its description in RNAcentral is "predicted gene 43560 (ENSMSPG00010008405.1)". The record is from RNAcentral. Lineage: Eukaryota; Metazoa; Chordata; Mammalia; Rodentia; Muridae.